CUGCCACAUAGAGGGAAGAAUGGAGUUGUUUGUUGGGUUUCAUAUGAGGUACUGGUGGACUGAAAGGUGUUCCUUGGAACCUGUCUAUGUUGAAAGGAGCGGUUGGAGAAGCGGUUCCUUCCUCUUCCAGCCCUUCCAAAAACCUUAGGGUUGAAUACUUUCCUCAGAGAUGACUGAGCCUUAUCAAGGAAGCUAAAUAAAUUGACAUAUUUAUUAAUGUCUUUAAUAAAG
This is a non-coding RNA of Pelobates cultripes (western spadefoot toad), 231 nucleotides long. Lineage: Eukaryota; Metazoa; Chordata; Amphibia; Anura; Pelobatidae. The record is from the annotation of a GenBank genome assembly.